RNAcentral lists this ribosomal RNA (324 nucleotides) under uncultured bacterium. Its description in RNAcentral is "bacterial SSU rRNA". It matches the Rfam family "Bacterial small subunit ribosomal RNA", at positions 28 to 334 of the family's 1533-position model. The record is from RNAcentral.
GAUGAACGCUGGCGGCGUGCUUAAUACAUGCAAGUCGAGCGAAGCACUUUAACGGAAUUCUCCGGAAGGAAGGUAAAGUGACUGAGCGGCGGACGGGUGAGUAACGCGUGGGUAACCUGCCUUAUACAGGGGGAUAACAGUUAGAAAUGGCUGCUAAUACCGCAUAAGCGCACAGGGCCGCAUGGCCCGGUGUGAAAAACUCCGGUGGUAUAAGAUGGACCCGCGUCUGAUUAGCUGGUUGGUGGGGUGAUGGCUUACCAAGGCUUUGACGGGUAACCGGCCCGAGAGGGUGACCGGUCACAUUGGGACUGAGAUACGGCCCAG